CUGCAGCCAAUUAAGCCGACCAGGUUCCUUUCCUCAUAGGAGUCUGGUGUGCAAUGGUUGCAAACAGCAUCCUCCUUGCUAGUUAGUGUAUGCAGCCUGCUGAAUGUGCAGGCUGCCCAAAGGGACCUUGGAGACAGUC
This 139-nucleotide small nucleolar RNA is filed under the name Mus spretus (western wild mouse). Its description in RNAcentral is "predicted gene, 22422 (ENSMSPG00010001727.1)". It matches the Rfam family "Small nucleolar RNA SNORA70". From Rfam's summary of the family: snoRNA U70 seems to be exclusive to mammals and is a member of the H/ACA class of snoRNA which contain H (ANANNA) and ACA box motifs. H/ACA box snoRNAs are involved in the conversion of uridines to pseudouridines (5-ribosyluracil) a constituent of structural RNAs (transfer, ribosomal, small nuclear, and small nucleolar). The record is from RNAcentral. Lineage: Eukaryota; Metazoa; Chordata; Mammalia; Rodentia; Muridae.